Molecule: transfer RNA, 73 nt
Filed under: Streptomyces phage Coruscant
Lineage: Duplodnaviria; Heunggongvirae; Uroviricota; Caudoviricetes; Stanwilliamsviridae
Description: tRNA-Phe
Rfam family: tRNA
About the family: Transfer RNA (tRNA) molecules are approximately 80 nucleotides in length. Their secondary structure includes four short double-helical elements and three loops (D, anti-codon, and T loops).
Source: RNAcentral
GGUCCUUUGGCAGAGAUGGUAAUGCACUGGUGUGAAGUACCAGACAUCUCAGUUCGAUUCUGAGGGGGACUAC